UACAAAAGUGUGAAUGCAUGCUUGAUACACAUACACCAAUUAAUCUGCACAUAGUAAGGGCAAUCAUCCCAGCAAGAUAAGAACUGGAUUUUAUCAUCAGAUUCUUGCCCAAAUUAGGUGAAUCAAUUCUCACAUAGCUUUCACUUUAAUUAAAAUCAAUUAGACGUUGGCCCCUAGGGACAUUCGAGCUCAAUAGGACGAAGAUCAUCAAAAGUUGCACCAAUUUCGCUC
Molecule: long non-coding RNA, 231 nt
Filed under: Phoenix dactylifera (date palm)
Lineage: Eukaryota; Viridiplantae; Streptophyta; Magnoliopsida; Arecales; Arecaceae
Description: long non-coding RNA (PDAC_LNC021669)
Source: RNAcentral